GCAAACUCUAUGUUUUUCUGCUGAGGCUUAUAAGCCUGCUUCUCUGGAGACAAAUGAUGACAGAAUUAUGUGUAUAUAUAACUUCCAACCGAACUUAUGAACCUAGUUAAAUCGUGUGAACUUGAUUUUGAAGACUAGGCUUGUGAACCUUGCUAUUUAUAUGUGAAAGCUUUCACAUAUCUCUAGCCUUUUUAUAUGUUUUGCGAUAGCCGUAGGCUUGUGAACCGUGCUAUUUAUAUGUGAAAGCUUUCAGCAAAAGCUUUCACAUAUCUCUAGCCUUUUAUAUGUUUUGUGAUAGCCGUAGGCUUGUGUUUAUGGUGUUCUACCUAUGACUUCAUGUUGCUAUAUAUAAUGUUAUGGUUAUGGAUUUUAA
RNAcentral lists this long non-coding RNA (373 nucleotides) under Trifolium pratense (red clover). RNAcentral describes it as "long non-coding RNA (TPRA_LNC004079)". Lineage: Eukaryota; Viridiplantae; Streptophyta; Magnoliopsida; Fabales; Fabaceae. The record is from RNAcentral.